CCCUAGCCCUGAUAGAAGUGGAAAUCCUUUUGUGGCGGGGUUCGCCACAAAAGAUUGGAACGGAUAGCAGGAAAUAGC
RNAcentral lists this small RNA (78 nucleotides) under Flavobacterium chilense. Its description in RNAcentral is "Flavo-1 RNA". It matches the Rfam family "Flavo-1 RNA". Lineage: Bacteria; Pseudomonadati; Bacteroidota; Flavobacteriia; Flavobacteriales; Flavobacteriaceae. The record is from RNAcentral.